Molecule: small RNA, 459 nt
Filed under: Arabidopsis thaliana (thale cress)
Lineage: Eukaryota; Viridiplantae; Streptophyta; Magnoliopsida; Brassicales; Brassicaceae
Description: ATSL269050
Source: RNAcentral
UUCAUGUGUAUGAGUGAGUAUAAAAACUAGAACCGCCACAGAUCUAAAAAACAUAAGUAUUGUAUCCUUGUUAGAAGAUACAUAGACAAAGACUCAUACGAAAUUCGGCUAAACCAUCAAAUCUUAUUGAAGCAAGAAGAAGCUUGGUUAGUGUUUUGGAGUGAAAUAUGAAUAGAUAUCAUGAGUAUGAGUGAGUAUAACAGCUAGAACCGCAAUUGGAAUUUUAGAAGCCUAAGUAUUGUAUCCUUGUUAGAAGAUACAAAGACAAACACUCAUACGGGCUUCGGCUACACCAUCAAAGCUUUGAGAAGCAAGAAGAAGCUUAGUUAGUGUUUUGGAGUCGAAUAUGACUUGAUGUGAUGUGUAUGAUUGAGUAUAAGAAAUUUAACCGCAAUCGGAUCUUAAAAGCCUAAGUAGUGUUUCCUUGUUAGAAGAUACAAAGGCAAAGCCUCAUACGGU